This is a non-coding RNA of Leptonychotes weddellii (Weddell seal), 908 nucleotides long. NCBI's taxonomy places the organism in Eukaryota, Metazoa, Chordata, Mammalia, Carnivora, Phocidae. The record is from RefSeq and is a predicted model, not a curated record.
GGAAGAGCGGAGUCCCCGCGGCGGCGGCGGCGGUCCGGGCUACCCGCGCGCGAGCUGCCACCUUCUUGGAGAAGGACCACACCUGUGCUUAUUCUCGCUUUGGAGGAGAGAUGUAGGAAUAAAAGCUCUGAGUAUGGUGGACUCUGCGGAAAAGAGGAGUUUGUUUCUGGAGCAGCUCAGAACUGCUCUAGAACUUGAGGACGGUGAGAAUCUUUGGUGUUGCCCUCUUCAGUUGUCCAUGCAGGGCAUCCGAGAAUCUAAGACCCAGAAUCUUUAAACGGUAGUGCUGCAAUAAUGAGGAGGUCAUAGAUUAAUUAGAGACCGUUAGGGUGUUUAGAGAUGGUUAGCCAGGGGUAUAUCAUCUUGACUAGUUAUCUUAAAAUAUUUAAUACAGAGGUGAAAUCAGAAUAAAACUGACUUGUGAAUAGACUAUAAAAUCCAAAAUCUGGGGGGAAAUUGAGCCUAGAACAAAAUCAGAAAGCAAAAUAACUGUGGAAUAGACAGCUGGACUGCAAGUAUGUAUGCUGAGUGUGUGUAUAUAAGAGGAAAAGGUUAAUAAUAGAAUUUAUGGGCUGAUCCAUUUAUUCGUAACUUUUUAGUCUUCUGUAGCCUUUUUGGACUAAAAUCCCUGUUAGCAUAAGGAGAACACUUGUUCUUUCUCCCUCUACCUUAUUGUGUCCAUACUUUUUUUGAUAGGGCUUUUCCUCGAGUCGGAUCUGUUAGGGAAAUGCAGUAGGAGAUGGUUUAGGGGCCACUGCUGGGAGUGGGUAAAACAUGACACUCCUUUCUAAUUACUCCCAGUUAAUGCUGCUUCGCGAGAAUUGGGGUGGACGGUGCACUGCAUGGGGCAGCGGUCCUUGGCUUCUCCUCGCCUUUUGAGCCAGUUUCUUUCUUCUUAAGAAAAAAAU